Molecule: ribosomal RNA, 297 nt
Filed under: Triticum aestivum (bread wheat)
Lineage: Eukaryota; Viridiplantae; Streptophyta; Magnoliopsida; Poales; Poaceae
Description: partial small subunit ribosomal RNA
Rfam family: Eukaryotic large subunit ribosomal RNA
Source: RNAcentral
AUGGAACAAUGUAGGCAAGGGAAGUCAGCAAAACGGAUCUGUAACUUAGGGAAAAGGAUUGGCUCUGAGGACUGGGCUCGGGGGUCCCGGCCCCGAACCCGUCGGCUGUCGGCGGAUUGCUCGAGCUGCUCACGCGGCGAGAGCGGGUCGCCGCGUGCCGGCCGGGGGACGGACCGGGAAUCGCCCCUUCGGGGGCUUUCCCCGAGCAUGAAACAGUCGACUCAGAACUGGUACGGACAAGGGGAAUCCGACUGUUUAAUUAAAACAAAGCAUUGCGAUGGUCCUCGCGGAUGCUGA